UACGUAGGGUGCGAGCGUUGUCCGGAAUUAUUGGGCGUAAAGAGCUCGUAGGCGGUCUGUCGCGUCGAUCGUGAAAACUUGGGGCUUAACCCUGAGCUUGCGGUCGAUACGGGCAUGACUGGAGUUCGGCAGGGGAGACUGGAAUUCCUGGUGUAGCGGUGAAAUGCGUAGAUAUCAGGAGGAAUACCGAUGGCGAAGGCAGGUCUCUGGGCUGACACUGACGCUCAUGCACGAAAGCGUGGGGAGCAAACAGG
This 254-nucleotide ribosomal RNA is filed under the name uncultured bacterium. Its description in RNAcentral is "partial 16S ribosomal RNA". It matches the Rfam family "Bacterial small subunit ribosomal RNA", at positions 524 to 776 of the family's 1533-position model. The record is from RNAcentral.